AAUAGAUACCCGGGUAGUCCUGGCCGUAAACCAUGAGCACUGGGUAGGGGGCUCGCCGAUGGGUCCCCUGCCGCAGCGAAAGCGUGAAGUGCUCCGCCUGGGGAGUAUGGCCGCAAGGCUGAAACUCAAAGGAAUUGACGGGGGCUCACACAAGCGGUGGAGCAUGUGGCUUAAUUCGAGGCUACGCGAAGAACCUUAUCCCGGGCUUGACAUGCACGGAUUAGCCUCCUGAAAGGGAGGUGACGCCUUCGGGUGGAACGUGCACAGGUGCUGCAUGGCUGUCGUCAGCUCGUGCCGUGAGGUGUUGGGUUAAGUCCCGUAACGAGCGAACCCCUGCGACCAGUUGCCAUCAUUAAGUUGGGGACUCUGGUCGGACCGCCGGCGUCAAGCCGGAGGAAGGCGGGGACGACGUCAAGUCAUCAUGGCCCUUAUGCCCGGGGCUGCACACGUGCUACAAUGGGCCGGACAGAGCGUCGCCACUGCGCAAGCAGGAGCCAAUCGCAGAAACCGGCCCCCAGUUCGGAUUGUGGG
RNAcentral lists this ribosomal RNA (531 nucleotides) under uncultured bacterium. RNAcentral describes it as "bacterial SSU rRNA". It matches the Rfam family "Bacterial small subunit ribosomal RNA", at positions 777 to 1304 of the family's 1533-position model. The record is from RNAcentral.